GCAGCACCUGCGGUAAUUCCAGCUCCAAUAGCGUAUAUUUAAGUUGUUGCAGUUAAAAAGCUCGUAGUUGGAUUUCGGGUGGGUUUCAGCGGUCCGCCUAUGGUGAGUACUGCUGUGGCCUUCCUUACUGUCGGGGACCUGCUUCUGGGCUUCAUUGUCCGGGACAGGGAUUCGGCAUGGUUACUUUGAGUAAAUUAGAGUGUUCAAAGCAGGCUUACGCCGUGAAUACUUUAGCAUGGAAUAACAUGAUAGGACUCUGCCCUAUUCUGUUGGCCUGUAGGAGUGGAGUAAUGAUUAAGAGGAACAGUCGGGGGCAUUCGUAUUUCAUUGUCAGAGGUGAAAUUCUUGGAUUUAUGAAAGACAAACUUCUGCGAAAGCAUUUGCCAAGGAUGUUUUCAUUAAUCAAGAACGAAAGU
Molecule: ribosomal RNA, 416 nt
Filed under: uncultured eukaryote
Lineage: Eukaryota
Description: SSU rRNA
Rfam family: Eukaryotic small subunit ribosomal RNA
Source: RNAcentral